GGCGUUUUUCGCCUCGGCGGAACUCGACCGCCGACUGCGGUGAUCGUGGACUACAUCGACGGCCACCGGCAGCAGUUCGGGGUCGAGCCGAUCUGUCGCGUCCUGCGCGUGCAGGGCGUGUCGAUCGCCCCG
Molecule: regulatory RNA element, 132 nt
Organism: Pseudonocardia sp. EC080619-01
Lineage: Bacteria; Bacillati; Actinomycetota; Actinomycetes; Pseudonocardiales; Pseudonocardiaceae
Rfam family: ALIL pseudoknot
Source: Rfam